ACGCGUUGGGAGCUCUCCCAUAUGGUCGACCUGCAGGCGGCCGCGAAUUCACUAGUGAUUAAUAACAGUUAGAAAUGACUGCUAAUACCGGAUGACGACGUAAGUCCAAAGAUUUAUCGCCGAGGGAUGAGCCCGCGUAGGAUUAGCUAGUUGGUGUGGUAAAGGCGCACCAAGGCGACGAUCCUUAGCUGGUCUGAGAGGAUGAUCAGCCACACUGGGACUGAGACACGGCCCAGACUCCUACGGGAGGCAGCAGUGGGGAAUAUUGGACAAUGGGCGAAAGCCUGAUCCAGCAAUGCCGCGUGAGUGAUGAAGGCCUUAGGGUUGUAAAGCUCUUUUACCCGGGAUGAUAAUGACAGUACCGGGAGAAUAAGCUCCGGCUAACUCCGUGCCAGCAGCCGCGGUAAUACGAAUCGAAUUCCCGCGGCCGCCAUGGCGGCCGGGAGCAUGCGACGUCGG
RNAcentral lists this ribosomal RNA (459 nucleotides) under uncultured Alphaproteobacteria bacterium. RNAcentral's name for it is "bacterial SSU rRNA". It matches the Rfam family "Bacterial small subunit ribosomal RNA", at positions 67 to 545 of the family's 1533-position model. Lineage: Bacteria; Pseudomonadati; Pseudomonadota; Alphaproteobacteria. The record is from RNAcentral.